GUCUUUUUGUUUAAUAUUUAAAGUCUAGUCUGCCCUAUGAUAAAAUUGAAUGGCCGCGGUAUUUUGACCGUGCUAAGGUAGCAUAAUCAUUAGUUUUUUAAUUGAAAGCUGGAAUGAAGGGCUGAAUGAAAAAAAAACUGUCUCUAAUUAAUUAUUUUAGAAUUUUAUUUUUAAGUAAAAAAGCUUAAAUUUUAUUAAAAGACGAGAAGACCCUAUAGAGUUUAAUAAUUUUAUAAUAUAAAAAAUUUGGAAUUAAUUUUUUUAUUUUUAUAUGAUUAUUUGAUUGGGGUGAUUAAAAAAUUUAAUAAACUUUUUUAUUUAUUUAUAUUAAUUAAUAAAUAGUUGAUCCAAAAAUUUUGAUUAUAAGAUAAAAUUACCUUAGGGAUAACAGCGUAAUUUUAUUUGAGAGUUCUAAUCGAUAAUAAAGUUUGCGA
RNAcentral lists this ribosomal RNA (434 nucleotides) under Galerucella lineola. Its description in RNAcentral is "partial 16S large subunit ribosomal RNA". The record is from RNAcentral. Lineage: Eukaryota; Metazoa; Arthropoda; Insecta; Coleoptera; Chrysomelidae.